This 217-nucleotide long non-coding RNA is filed under the name Elaeis guineensis (African oil palm). RNAcentral's name for it is "long non-coding RNA (EGUI_LNC004133)". Lineage: Eukaryota; Viridiplantae; Streptophyta; Magnoliopsida; Arecales; Arecaceae. The record is from RNAcentral.
GGCUACUAUGAGUGACGAAUUUAGUUAUAAAUUCGAUGAUGUAGAGCCGAAAGAAUUACUUCAAAUGUUGAACAAAUCUUUUGGCACACUUGAGGAUUUAUCCUCAACAGGACAUCAAUCCUCUAAGAGAGAAAAUAUAAGUAUGAUGUAGUGGUAUUAUGCUAGGGCAUCCAUGCUCAAUCAAACUAAUUAGUCUAAGGCAAAUCAAAGUCAAGCA